GCCUCGGUGGCUUAGGGGUGUAGCGCGUCCUUGGUAGAGGACGAGGUCGGGGGUUCAAAUCCCCCCCGAGGCU
Molecule: transfer RNA, 73 nt
Filed under: ANME-2 cluster archaeon
Lineage: Archaea; Methanobacteriati; Methanobacteriota; Methanomicrobia; Methanosarcinales
Description: tRNA-Thr
Rfam family: tRNA
About the family: Transfer RNA (tRNA) molecules are approximately 80 nucleotides in length.
Source: RNAcentral